AUUGAACGCUGGCGGCAGGCCUAACACAUGCAAGUCGAGCGGUAACAGGGGUAGCUUGCUACCCGCUGACGAGCGGCGGACGGGUGAGUAGUGCAUAGGAAUUUACCCGAUAGUGGGGGAUAACCUGGGGAAACCCAGGCUAAUACCGCAUACGUCCUACGGGAGAAAGGGGGCUUCGGCUCCCGCUAUCGGAUGAGCCUAUGUCGGAUUAGCUGGUUGGUGAGGUAAUGGCUCACCAAGGCGACGAUCCGUAGCUGGUCUGAGAGGAUGAUCAGCCACAUCGGGACUGAGACACGGCCCGAACUCCUACGGGAGGCAGCAGUGGGGAAUAUUGGACAAUGGGGGCAACCCUGAUCCAGCCAUGCCGCGUGUGUGAAGAAGGCCCUCGGGUUGUAAAGCACUUUCAGUGAGGAAGAACGCCUGAUGGUUAAUACCCGUCAGGAAAGACAUCACUCACAGAAGAAGCACCGGCUAACUCCGUGCCAGCAGCCGCGGUAAUACG
Molecule: ribosomal RNA, 502 nt
Filed under: uncultured bacterium
Lineage: Bacteria
Description: bacterial SSU rRNA
Rfam family: Bacterial small subunit ribosomal RNA
Source: RNAcentral